AACCCCUAGCCUUCCAAGCUAACGAUGCGGGKUCGAUUCCCGCUNCCCGCU
This 51-nucleotide transfer RNA is filed under the name Ruellia pennellii. Its description in RNAcentral is "partial tRNA-Gly". The record is from RNAcentral. Lineage: Eukaryota; Viridiplantae; Streptophyta; Magnoliopsida; Lamiales; Acanthaceae.